GACGUAGGAGGCGAGCGCUAUCCGGAUUCACUGGGUGUAAAGCGCGUGCAGGUGGUCUCGUAAGUUGGACGUGAAAUCUCCUGGCUCAACUGGGAGGGGCCGUUCAAUACUGCGAGGCUAGAGGGCAGGAGAGGGAGGUGGAAUUCCCGGUGUAGUGGUGAAAUGCGUAGAUAUCGGGAGGAACACCAGUGGCGAAAGCGGCCUCCUGGCCUGCUCCUGACACUAAGACGCGAAAGCUAGGGGAGCGAACGGG
Molecule: ribosomal RNA, 253 nt
Filed under: uncultured bacterium
Lineage: Bacteria
Description: partial 16S ribosomal RNA
Rfam family: Bacterial small subunit ribosomal RNA
Source: RNAcentral